Long non-coding RNA from Monodelphis domestica (gray short-tailed opossum), 3451 nucleotides. RefSeq lists it as uncharacterized. The record is from RefSeq and is a predicted model, not a curated record. Lineage: Eukaryota; Metazoa; Chordata; Mammalia; Didelphimorphia; Didelphidae.
CCCCCCCUAGUUGGGAAGUGGGAUGUAGAGGGCUAGUUUGUUGCAUUUUGUUGACUUUAUCUGGAAGAUUCAGGACCAGGCUGGGAAAGUACAAAGGCCCCUGGUACAAGAGGAUAGAAAACUCACUUGCUUCCUUAUCUCUUAAGUGACACUUUUACUGUACCUCACCCUACCCUGACCUGGCUAGAAUCCACAUGAUUAGAUUGUAAGUUUUGGUUCCCAGACAAGGGGGCUAGACAGAGGAGGGAGCGGGGAGUCUCUCCUUAGGAAUCUAUAAAAGGUCUGUUUUUGCACCCAGGCAUUUGCAUUUGCCAUUAAGGCAUCUGUCUUUCUCAAGAGGAAAAGAAAUAACUGCCUAUCUUUUGUCUUAUUUUCUGACUCCAGUUUUGUAAUUGAAAUGAGAGGUGGGUGGUCAUUUUUAAUCACACUCAUUUGGUGAAUUGGCCAGGAUUCCUGGAAUGUCAGAAAGACCCUCAGGUUCUUCCUUCAGUGGGCACAGGAUGUCCUCCAGUUAUUUUGGCCACUUCCUCAUGGACAGAAUGCUGAGAGUUUUCUCUCUCUGCCACCUUCCAUGCCUAGAAGGAUAGGAAGGUGAAAAUAAAAAGCAGAGAAGAUCUGAAUCACAGCAACAAGGAUUAUGUACAUGGGUGCACAUGGAAGGUUUGACAUCCCAAAUCUGUUGAGAAUUUGAAAGACUGAAACACUCAGGGCUAUCUUGCAAGAUCUUUUGGCCUGAGAUGUCCAAGGGUGAGAGACUGAAGGCUCAUUGCCAGGAAGAAAGUUCUAGACAUCUUGAUUUUGAUACAGACAAAUACCUGGGAAUGGACCAGGAAAAUUCAGAGUUGCAGAAAUAAUACGAAUUAACACUAAAGGUACCUAAGGUACAGAAUUGGAAUAAGUGUAAAAAUAAAUGAAUAAUUUUUCUGCAGCACCUAAAGCUAAAGUUUGUACAAUGAAAGAAGGAACUUAAACAAAACAAACAAACAAAAAACAAGACCCAUCUCCCCUCCCACAGAUCUGGAUGAGAUGAACUGACUCAGAAUGAAGAGGACAUUGAUGGCCCAAAUCUCCACCUUUAGGGUUCCUGGUACACAAAUUCCAACCAGAGGACUGGGUCCUGAUUUGAACCUGGAAAGAGUCUUCCAAAUCCUAUUAACCACCAACACAGCUGUAAGAACUGCUGACAAGACUAGGUCCAUUCUACCUGGGUGAAAGGGCCAGCAGAGCCACCUGUCAUCUGGAUGACUGUAAUUAUUACUGACCAAGCCCUGAAAAUCAUCAUGAAGAAAUCUCAUGGCACUUGAUGGUCCUGAAUUAUUUCUAUAUGGAAGAGUUCCUUGGGGAAUCUUGGAGUUGUUGUCUUGUUGAUUCUAAUCUUAAAGCUUUCUCUAAACUGUGUGACAGGGAAGAUGGUUGUCACUCUCUGGCCAGGGUGGGGAUCCUUUGGGGUUUGCCUUCUUGUUCCAUGCCCCACAGGACAUUACCCCCAGAACUGACACACACACCGAGCUGUCGAGUUUUAUUGUUUUGCUUUUAGUGGCAUUAUUGGCAGCAGUAGGGAUCUUUUACUGCAGUUCCCUACAUUUACUGCCUCCAUUACCUUGGGUCCCCAAGACGCAAAGGGCACUGAUACUAGCAUUAACAUGGAUGAUCGUAGCUUCGAGGGUAGUGAUCCCUUGACCUUCUGAGGCCGAGAUAUGGAGGAGGUCAAGUGGGUAGACAAAAUAAUCCAAUCUGAGGAAGAGGGGAGGGCCAAAGCACAAAAAAUGAGUCCGAGCCCUUGUAAAUGGGAGGUUUUAGGAUUGCCUGCAAUGAUGAUGACUGAGGAUCCUAGAUGAGCCUUUGACACAGAGGUUGUGAGGAGUCUUAUGGUUCAGAGUACAGAAAAAAGCAAUAACUCUGCCUGUACCACCAGCAGCCCUGUUGUUCCCUUUCCUCUGGAUACGAAGUCGAAUUCCAGCGGGUGGUUACCCUCUUGGGAGAGCUAAAUCCAGGGGAUGACUAAGACUAGUGGCACAAAAGGGAGCUCUGGCUGGAGGAGGAUUCUGGAAUCAUGCUGCGCGUAUCUCAGGGCACCUGAGUCAGGUCCAAAGCGGGAACAUGCCUGAGCCUGGAAUGUGAGCGACUGGCCUGGAUGUUCUCAUCUAAGCAUCUCUUCUCCAGCAGAUCUCUGGUGGUCCCAUGGGGGAACCACACUCAGACACGUCCCAAGGGACUGGCUUGGGGUAUGUGCCUUGGUACAAUUGCCAAUCCCCUUCACAAUGAUAUAUCUGAACCCAACCACUCAGCUAGACCAGUCAAGGCAAAAGAGAAACACUUUGGUUUCUCCUGAAGGCUGCUUUGACCAAUCAGUGUGCCUAGAUGCAAUAGGAGUGCCUAGAAGAGUCCUGGGCAAGUUUAAAGCGAGGUGCGAAUCCCUUUUGGUGGUGCCAUAAGCCAGAAUCAAGGACAUCCAUUAUACUCAGCAGAGGUUCCUAAAGUACCCUGGGGACACAGUCAGGGGAUGCUGCCAGUCAAUGGCACAGGAAAAUAGAUUCGUUUAGACAUGAUGUUAGCUAAGGAAGGUGGUGCCUGUGCCAUGUCCCAAUAACACUGCGUCACUCCGGUCAGUGGCCAGAGCUCUCCAGGGACUAACUGCCCUUUCAGAAGAAUUAAGCAGAAACUCGGGGGUGGAUACUACUUCUUGGGUCAGCUGGUUGGACUCAAUUUUUUACCAGUUUAGAAGUGGUUUUCCCUGAUUGUUGGGGGUUGACUAUCCUGAUUGAAUGAUAGUUGAUUCAAACAACUUGAAUUCUUUAUGAUUUGUGCAUUAGGAAGCCUUUUAAUUAUUCACUGCCUUAUUCCUUGCCUCAUGAGGCUAUUGAAAACCUGCAGCUGGUUGUUAUGCAACUAUAGAAUUCAGAAAGGAAGGAGAUUAUCGCCUCUGAGGAUAUCUAGAUUUAGAGAGGGAAACUGAGGCAAGGGAGGAUGCCACAUCUCUGAAAAUAAAAUGGAGGGGAUGAGUGAGAUAGGAUUAAGAGCAUUAUUAUCAUUCUCACCCUUCCCGCAUUCUCAAGGCAAAGACACCAAGUUGACACCCUCAGUUGGACAGGGGAAUGUAGAGAACUAGUUUGUUUGCCUUUUGUUCAUUGUUUUUCUGGAAGAUUCUGGGACAAGGCUGGGAAAGUACAAAGGCCCCUGGUGCAAGAGGAUAGACAACUCACUUGCUUCCUUAUCUCUUAAGUGACACUUUUACUGUACCUCACCCUACCCUGACCUGGCUAGAAUCCACAUGAUUAGAUUGUAAGUCUUGGUUCCCAGACAAGGGGGCUAGAGAGAGGAGGGAGCGGGGAGUCUCUCCUUAGGAAUCUAUAAAAGGUCUGUUUUUGCACCCAGGCAUUUAUAUUUGCCAUUAAGGCAUCUGCCUUUCUCAUGAGGAAAAGAAAUAAACAAUUACUUAUUUUUACUCUCA